RNAcentral lists this ribosomal RNA (442 nucleotides) under uncultured bacterium. Its description in RNAcentral is "partial 16S ribosomal RNA". It matches the Rfam family "Bacterial small subunit ribosomal RNA", at positions 338 to 795 of the family's 1533-position model. The record is from RNAcentral.
CCUACGGGUGGCAGCAGUGGGGGAUAUUGCACAAUGGGGGAAACCCUGAUGCAGCGACGCCGCGUGGGCGAAGAAGUAUUUCGGUAUGUAAAGCCCUAUCAGCAGGGAAGAAGAAAUCACGGUACCUGAGGAAGAAGCACCGGCUAAAGACGUGCCAGCAGCCGCGGUAAUACGUAUGGUGCAAGCGUUAUCCGGAUUUACUGGGUGUAAAGGGAGCGCAGGCGGCACGGCAAGCCUGAUGGGAAAGCCCGGGGCCCAAGCGCGGGACUGCAUUGGGAACUACCGGGCUGGAGUGCCGGAGAGGUAGGCGGAAUGCGUGGUGUAGCGGUGAAAUGCGUAGAUAUGAGGAAGAACACCAGUGGCGAAGGCGGCCUACGGGACGGUGACUGACGCUGAGGCUCGAAAGCGUGGGGAGCAAACAGGAUUAGAUACCCCUGUAGUC